AGAGUUUGAUCCUGGCUCAGGAUGAACGCUAGCGGCAGGCUUAAUACAUGCAAGUCGUGGGGCAGCGCAGGUAGCAAUACCGGGCGGCGACCGGCAAACGGGUGCGGAACACGUACGCAACCUUCCUUUAAGCGGGGAAUAGCCCAGGGAAACUUGGAUUAAUACCCCAUAAAAUCAUAGGGUGGCAUCAUCUGAUGAUU
This 200-nucleotide ribosomal RNA is filed under the name uncultured bacterium. RNAcentral describes it as "partial 16S ribosomal RNA". It matches the Rfam family "Bacterial small subunit ribosomal RNA", at positions 8 to 202 of the family's 1533-position model. The record is from RNAcentral.